UUCUACCUAUAUGAAUAUUGCAACUACAACUCCCACAGAGAUGCAAAAAUUCACCAAGAUGCAUACAACUAUCCUCUUGCAAUUGAACUAAAUAAGGCACCUAGGUAUAUCCCUAUCCUAGGUGCUAAUUCAAAUCCUUUAUUUAAUGAAAGAAUGGGAACCUUGCUCCUUAAUUUCUUUGUUCUUUUCUGUGAUUCUCCUCAAGGAUUAACAUAGAAAUAUAGAUUUAUUCUAAUGGUG
This 240-nucleotide long non-coding RNA is filed under the name Capsicum annuum. RNAcentral's name for it is "long non-coding RNA (CANN_LNC009957)". The record is from RNAcentral. Lineage: Eukaryota; Viridiplantae; Streptophyta; Magnoliopsida; Solanales; Solanaceae.